CACAAGUCGCCGCCUAAUCGCCCUCGCGGGCGAACCGGGGAACCACUUACUUCGGGGCAGGGUGGUCAGCGUUUGCCCACAGGCAUGACCUGCUGACACCAGUUCCGAAUCGGGGUGAAUCGCGUCGACGCGUAUGCGUGUCCUCUCGGGGACACGCCUGUGCCGAAAACGCGUAGGGCCACUCUUCCGGCCCGAACCCGACAGCUAACUCGGUCGGCGGUCGAGGGAGAAUUU
This 234-nucleotide small RNA is filed under the name Gordonia paraffinivorans. Its description in RNAcentral is "c-di-AMP sequence". It matches the Rfam family "c-di-AMP riboswitch aptamer (ydaO/yuaA leader)". Rfam says of the family: This family represents a conserved RNA structure found upstream of the ydaO and yuaA genes in Bacillus subtilis and related genes in other bacteria. Lineage: Bacteria; Bacillati; Actinomycetota; Actinomycetes; Mycobacteriales; Gordoniaceae. The record is from RNAcentral.